GGCCCGGAUGCGAGUUGUUGCAGCGUUGCGGAGUAAUCUCUGAGUAAGGAGAGAGGACUGAAGAAUUGUUUGACUCCAAACCAGGAAGCUGAAGGAUUUAUGAACCAGGUACUGGUGCGUGGAAGAGAAUGCAAACACAGAUCCGUACUCACGUGACAGCUGCCAUCCUCCUGACUGCCUCCCAAGGCACUGCGCAUGCCCACUGUUCCAGCACUUUAUCCACAGCGUCAGUGCCGAUGGAUGGUAACUCGCUUAAGAGCGUUGCCCUGAGGCACUCGUAAUUCCCUGAGAGUCUGCGCUCUCCAAUAGAACCCCAGGAGGAAAACACCAUAGUCCAGUUUCCCACAUUUGGAGAAGUCGCAGAGGCCAGCAUAUCUGGAGUGCGAUAGAUGAGCCUUGCCCUGGGGCAACCACCUUCAUGACCAUGUUUCAGGUUUCUUGCAGUCACUACUAUAUGCUACAGGAAGGGUUAGUCAACCGGAGCCUGCAGGCCAAGUCAGCCAGCUGUCUGCUAUUGUAUGACCCGCUUACAUAGAUGCAGAGACACUGAAGCCAGACGGUAUCACGGCCCUUUCACUAAUUAGCUCUGUAAAACCUUGGAAUAACACGACCUUUCUCUGACUCAAUUUCUUCAUCUGUAAAAUAAUUUUAACUUAGAACCCUGUCUGUCGUGCAGUAAACAUUCAAUAAAUGUUAGCUGUGCUUGUAUGAAGUAAUGAAAAUCAUUUUAAAACAAUAUAAAUCACAGGAUACACCUGUUAGCUUUGAGAAAAAAUAUUUUUUUAGGCAUGACCUUUAAAUUUUUAAUUAAAAAUUAUUUUUUUAACUACCCUGACAGGUAAAAUUAUUUGUGACACAAGAAAUUCUGAUAAAACUGAGCUUAAGAACUGGGGAAAUACAGUAUUUAAAUCCAUUUAUCACCAAGAGGUACAAGCACGUUCUUAGAACUGAGGGGACUAUAAUCAUUUAUAAGCAAAUGCCACAAGCUUACCACCCUAAAGGUCUUCCGACCUGUGAGACUCAGAGGACAGCCUUCAGAGCAGAGCCUAAUGAAGCUUGCCCUUCUGUUUGGUACAUUAACUCAAGCACAUGACUACCUGCUGGAACGCUGAGUCUCCGACAAUCUCUGGCACAUGCACACCAGCCUUCCCAUUGCUUUGCAUCCUCCGCUAUAUAUUAAACAGACUCAGGAGUUAAACAAGAGAAUCCUCAUCUCAGGCCACACCCGCUCCAUUUUAAUUAAGUUCUUCAGAUGAGAC
Molecule: long non-coding RNA, 1259 nt
Organism: Dama dama (fallow deer)
Lineage: Eukaryota; Metazoa; Chordata; Mammalia; Artiodactyla; Cervidae
Exons: 5
Source: RefSeq, a predicted model, not a curated record